CUCUGUUCCUGGGGAUUCACCUUUCCGACCAGAGCACCGCCAGGACUGCCUCUUCAGGGAUCCAUGCUAUGGCGAUUGAAUCAUGGGAUUAAUGAUUCAGAAUCUCCAAUAAUAGAAGAGGGGAGAGGACUGUGAAUUAGCAAAGUUAGAGAAGUCCUUUAAGGAGAUGAAAUGUUUACCACAUUUGCUCUCAGAAACUUAUGCACAGAGUUCCACAAAGCAAUAAAGCUCGGCUCUAUCUACCAGCAUAUGCGUGAGUAUUUUUCCUAAUAUGGUGAAGAGGAUGAAAAUGGUGAAGAUGUCCUUUCAAAAGAAAGUAAAGGAAGCGCUUUGAAAAGAUCAUCCAACC
Puma concolor (puma) is the source of this 349-nucleotide non-coding RNA. NCBI's taxonomy places the organism in Eukaryota, Metazoa, Chordata, Mammalia, Carnivora, Felidae. The record is from RefSeq and is a predicted model, not a curated record.